Alnus glutinosa is the source of this 341-nucleotide long non-coding RNA. RefSeq lists it as uncharacterized. The record is from RefSeq and is a predicted model, not a curated record. NCBI's taxonomy places the organism in Eukaryota, Viridiplantae, Streptophyta, Magnoliopsida, Fagales, Betulaceae. The transcript is spliced from 3 exons.
CCAAAAUCCCUUCCAGCCGCCCCUCUUCCUUUUACAAAAUAAAUUUUCAGUUUCUCAACUCUCACGGUAGACUGCAGGUGACUAGUUAGCGGUCGAGAUAGUCCAGCGACUUAUUUCAAUCAGAGAAAGAGCACAACUAGUUUAAGGGGCAAGUAGGAGGAACUAGAGUUAUACGCGGCUAUUUGAGUCACUAUGAUUUCAAGUCUUUUGAUCUAGAUUUGGAGAGCUUUUAUGUGCUUAUGAAUUUGAUUUGUAUUAAUUAUGUUUGGACUUGGGAACUUGAUACUUAUGAUUAAGGAAGAAUGUAAGGUAUUUAUAUUAGAGCUAUGGUGAAAGUACUU